GACGAACGCUGGCGGCGUGCUUAACACAUGCAAGUCGAACGGAAAGGCCCUGCUUGCAGGGUACUCGAGUGGCGAACGGGUGAGUAACACGUGGGUGAUCUGCCCUGCACUUCGGGAUAAGCCUGGGAAACUGGGUCUAAUACCGGAUAUGACCUUCCAUGUAGUGUGGGGGGUGGAAAGAUUUAUCGGUGUGGGCUGAGCCCGCGGCCUAUCAGCUUGUUGGUGGGGUAAUGGCCUACCAAGGCGUCGACGGGUAGCCGGCCUGAGAGGGUGGACGGCCACAUUGGGACUGAGAUACGGCCCAGACUCCUACGGGAGGCAGCAGUGGGGAAUAUUGCACAAUGGGCGGAAGCCUGAUGCAGCGACGCCGCGUGGGGGAUGACGGCCUUCGGGUUGUAAACCUCUUUCGACAGGGACGAAGCUUCGGUGACGGUACCUGUAUAAGAAGCACCGGCUAACUACGUG
RNAcentral lists this ribosomal RNA (465 nucleotides) under uncultured bacterium. RNAcentral's name for it is "partial 16S ribosomal RNA". It matches the Rfam family "Bacterial small subunit ribosomal RNA", at positions 28 to 507 of the family's 1533-position model. The record is from RNAcentral.